RNAcentral lists this ribosomal RNA (1513 nucleotides) under Triticum aestivum (bread wheat). RNAcentral's name for it is "partial small subunit ribosomal RNA". The record is from RNAcentral. Lineage: Eukaryota; Viridiplantae; Streptophyta; Magnoliopsida; Poales; Poaceae.
UACUAUUUGGGGAAUUCUGGAAUAAGAUUAUUGUGAACCCGAAUAAAACUAUUGUGGGGCUUUGCUUGGCCUGUGUCGUUUCUGGUUUUUUUCUUCGUAGGGUGGAGUGGGCACGUCGGGUGAUGGGUAGAAGGGGUCAGGGGUGGGGGGCGUGGUGUUGGGAGGAGGGUGAAGGAGGGCGUCGACCGCGCGGGGGUUGGGGGAGGGUGCCAGCCGCGGGUGGAUCGAUGGAGGGUACCGGUGGCGCGAGGUUGGGGAAGGUUGGUGACCGCUGGGGUCGCCGGUACCACCCUCGGCCGGCGGUGUCCUUAGGACGCUCCGGAGGUGGUGGCCUAGGCCGGAGGUACCGGUAGCCGCGUUGGUGUUCGGCUGCCUAGGCUGAUGCUAGCUGGUGGAGGGCGCGCACCACCGGCCUACCCUCCCGGCUGCUCGAGGUACGGUACGACCCGAGGAGGUCACGGUGGUGAAGGAAGAAGGGGAACCCGGCAUGAUGGAGGGCGAGACGGAGGGGCGUGAAAAGGCCGCUCGGCGGUUAGGAGGUGCGCGCAACGGUCACGGGGCCGGAAAGAAGGGCGUUGCGUAGGGCUGGGAAGACGGGGGCGGGCGGAGUGGGGCGGUGGAGGGCCGCGUGGAGGUGGGGGAACGUCCGGUGCCUAGACACCGGGAGUUAGGAAGGGGCCCCGCCUAGAUUCACUCCGGCUCCCCGUGGCAGCGUAGAGGAAGGGGAAGGGGGCCGUAGCAGCUGGUAGGGGAGCGGAGCUAGAUGUCGCUGUGGCUGUUGGCCGUCAUCCCACGCGACGGGAAGGAGAGGGGAGCUAAAAAACCCCGCGGCUGCUGUGUUGCGCCAUAGGCCGCCAGUCCGAGCCCCCACCUCCGGCGGCGGCUAGGGGACGAACUAGAGAAAGGUGGUUCUUGGCCGCUGGAGGGGAAGCUAGACCAGGGGGCAACUGUUGCGGAGUGGGGGAGGAGAGGCGUGAGAAGAAGAACCUGCCGACGCGUGUCAGUGGUAGAGGUCGCACACCAAAGUGGUCUUCCUCGGGCCCCUCGCGGAGAGAGAGUGGUGGCACUGUAAAAGCUGUGUCCCCGAACGCACAUCAAGCGGACCGCGGCCGUACUCCAAGUGAUCGAGGACGAAUGUCAAAAAAACUAUCCUUUUCCACCAUCGAGGACGAACCUCAAGCGGUACCAUCUACCCAACUACGUCGGGUGAACUUCCUCAGAACACCAAGUGACGCAAGUUGUUUCUUUUUCGUUUUCUCACAUCAGAACACUACGUUGGGUGAACAAAGUAAAAACACACAUAAAACUUCUACCCCACCUCCUUCUAUCACCAAAAACACACAUAAAACUUCUACUCCACGUCACGAUACCCCUGACCUGUACGUCACGCGACCGCGGCCGAACGUAAAGUGCCUGUUUUUACACCUAAAUAAAAAAUUCAGGGAGCAGUGACAUUAAACACACACAAACAUAAUACCUAAUUUGUAUACUAGUAACGUCAAACAAAGGGACA